RNAcentral lists this ribosomal RNA (761 nucleotides) under Acaulospora koskei. RNAcentral's name for it is "SSU rRNA". It matches the Rfam family "Eukaryotic small subunit ribosomal RNA", at positions 352 to 1114 of the family's 1831-position model. Lineage: Eukaryota; Fungi; Glomeromycota; Glomeromycetes; Diversisporales; Acaulosporaceae. The record is from RNAcentral.
AUUACGGGUACGGGGAUUAGGGUUCGAUUCCGGAGAGGGAGCCUGAGAAACGGCUACCACAUCCAAGGAAGGCAGCAGGCGCGCAAAUUACCCAAUCCCAACACGGGGAGGUAGUGACAAUAAAUAACAAUAUGGGGCCUUUACGGGUCUCGUAAUUGGAAUGAGUACAAUUUAAAUCUCUUAACGAGGAACAAUUGGAGGGCAAGUCUGGUGCCAGCAGCCGCGGUAAUUCCAGCUCCAAUAGCGUAUAUUAAAGUUGUUGCAGUUAAAAAGCUCGUAGUUGAAUUUCGGGAUCUAUCCGUCGGUCGGGCCUCACGGUCCGCACUGGUGUGAUGGAUUCCUACCUUCUGAAUAACCGGUAUGCCAUUAAUUUGAUGUGCCGGGGAAGCAGAACCAUUACCUUGAAAAAAUUAGAGUGCUCAAAGCAGGCCUAUGCCUGAAUACAUUAGCAUGGAAUAAUAAAAUAGGACGGCAUGGUUCUAUUUUGUUGGUUUCUAGGAUCACCGUAAUGAUUAAUAGGGAUAGUUGGGGGCAUUAGUAUUCAAUUGUCAGAGGUGAAAUUCUUGGAUUUAUUGAAGACUAACUUCUGCGAAAGCAUUUGCCAAGGAUGUUUUCAUUAAUCAAGAACGAAAGUUAGGGGAUCGAAGACGAUCAGAUACCGUCGUAGUCUUAACCAUAAACUAUGCCGACUAGGGAUCGGACGAUGUUAAUUUUAUAAUGACUCGUUCGGCGCCUUACGGGAAACCAAANNUUUNGGNUUC